AACCCGCAAGGCAGAACGACCCGCGAAUCUGUGAAAAUCGAUGCGGGCAACGGGCCUCGGGGUCCGUCGCCCGAAGUCCCCGGGCGAGGCGUGCGGGUCCAACCCACGUCUCACGCGCUGCGGGCGAAAACAACAAUCCCCGGCGCAGAUCGCGCCAAGGAACCGAAGAAAAGAUGCACGCCCCCUCGGCCCCGGAACGGUGGCCGACGGGAUGCGUUGUCGUUAUCGAAUACGAAACGACUCUCGGCAACGGAUAUCUUGGCUCUCGCAUCGAUGAAGAACGUAGCGAAAUGCGAUACUUGGUGUGAAUUGCAGAAUCCCGUGAAUCAUCGAGUUUUUGAACGCAAGUUGCGCCCGAGGCCUCCGGCCGAGGGCACGUCUGCCUGGGUGUCACGAAACGUCGCCAAGUCUCCCCUCACCCCUCUCCUACGGAGACAAUGAGGGCUGGCGGAAAUUGGCCUCCCGUGAGCUCUCGUUUGCGGUUGGCCCAAAUCAGAGUCUCCUGGCAUGGCAGCCACGACACGCGGUGGUUGGCAACGAAUGCGUAGAGCACCGUCGUGGGCUUAGCCCGGUCAACUAGGAGCGCGCGACCCCGACGCGAAGCGUCUCCACAGAGCGACCCCAGGUCAGGCGGAAACACCCGCUAAGUUUAA
RNAcentral lists this ribosomal RNA (653 nucleotides) under Lophopetalum arnhemicum. Its description in RNAcentral is "eukaryotic LSU rRNA". The stretch from base 239 to 393 matches the Rfam family "5.8S ribosomal RNA". Lineage: Eukaryota; Viridiplantae; Streptophyta; Magnoliopsida; Celastrales; Celastraceae. The record is from RNAcentral.